RNAcentral lists this ribosomal RNA (465 nucleotides) under uncultured bacterium. Its description in RNAcentral is "partial 16S ribosomal RNA". It matches the Rfam family "Bacterial small subunit ribosomal RNA", at positions 28 to 507 of the family's 1533-position model. The record is from RNAcentral.
GACGAACGCUGGCGGCGUGCUUAACACAUGCAAGUCGAACGGAAAGGCCCUGCUUUCGGGGUACUCGAGUGGCGAACGGGUGAGUAACACGUGGGUGAUCUGCCCUGCACUUCGGGAUAAGCCUGGGAAACUGGGUCUAAUACCGGAUAGGAGCCAUUUUGAGUGUGAUGGUUGGAAAGUUUUUUCGGUUUGGGAUGAGCUCGCGGCCUAUCAGCUUGUUGGUGGGGUAAUGGCCUACCAAGGCGGCGACGGGUAGCCCGCCUGAGAGGGUGGACGGCCAAAUUGGGACUGGGAAAAGGCCCAGACUCCCACGGGGGGCAGGCGUGGGGAAUAUUGCACAAUGGGCGCAAGCCUGAUGCAGCGAAGCCGCGUGGGGGAUGACGGCCUUCGGGUUGGAAAAUCCUUUCGCUAGGGACGAAGCUUUUUGUGACGGUACCUAGAUAAGAAGCACCGGCUAACUACGUG